RNAcentral lists this ribosomal RNA (443 nucleotides) under uncultured bacterium. RNAcentral's name for it is "partial 16S ribosomal RNA". It matches the Rfam family "Bacterial small subunit ribosomal RNA", at positions 338 to 795 of the family's 1533-position model. The record is from RNAcentral.
CCUACGUGAGGCAGCAGUGGGGAAUAUUGGGCAAUGGGCGCAAGCCUGACCCAGCAACGCCGCGUGAAGGAAGAAGGCUCUCGGGUUGUAAACUUCUUUUAUCAGGGACGAAGCCAGUGACGGUACCUGAUGAAUAAGCCACGGCUAACUACGUGCCAGCCGCCGCGGUAAUACGUCUGUGGCAAGAGUUAUCCGGAUUUACUGGGUGUAAAGGGGGUGUAGGCGGGAAAGCAAGUCAGAUGUGAAAACCAUGGGCUCAACCUGUGGCCUGCAUUUGAAAGUGUUUUUCUUGAGUGCUGGAGAGGCAGACGGAAUGUCUAGUGUAGCGGUGAAAUGCGUAGAGAUUAGGAGGAACACCAGUGGCGAAGCCGGUCUGCUGGACAGCAACUGACGCUGAGGCACGAAAGCGUGGGGAGCAAACAGGAUUAGAUACCCCAGUAGUC